GCCGGGAUAGCUCAGUUGGUAGAGCAGGGGACGGAAAAUCCUCGGG
This 46-nucleotide transfer RNA is filed under the name Caudalejeunea reniloba. Its description in RNAcentral is "partial tRNA-Phe". The record is from RNAcentral. Lineage: Eukaryota; Viridiplantae; Streptophyta; Jungermanniopsida; Porellales; Lejeuneaceae.